RNAcentral lists this non-coding RNA (218 nucleotides) under Eubacterium sp. The record is from RNAcentral. Lineage: Bacteria; Bacillati; Bacillota; Clostridia; Eubacteriales; Eubacteriaceae. RNAcentral also lists the same sequence under 1 other name.
AAUAUCAUAUGGACUUUAUGUUCUGAUGUAAAAAUCAGCUAAGAGGGAAGCAGGUGGAAAUCCUGCACGGUCCCGCCACUGUAAGCACGGAAUUUUUAUUCGCAUAUUUAUGCGGCAUGUUAUUCAUGUAUGAUUUUUAAUCGCCACUGGGCAACCGGGAAGGUAAAUAAAAGUGAUGAUGUGUAAGCCAGGAGACCUGCAUAGAGUUUGGAGUUAUA